This 783-nucleotide long non-coding RNA is filed under the name Medicago truncatula (barrel medic). Its description in RNAcentral is "long non-coding RNA (MTRU_LNC002051)". The record is from RNAcentral. Lineage: Eukaryota; Viridiplantae; Streptophyta; Magnoliopsida; Fabales; Fabaceae.
UCUGCUACCUUUCUUCAACAAAGUUGCACAUGGUGCCAUUGGAGAUGCUUAAACAAACUUUUCCUAUGAAAAGUGAUCAAAGGACAUGUUUGAGUUUGAGUUUGAGUGAAAUGAAAUAAACAAAGAAUUAAAUGAAAGAUAUGUUUGAGCUUGAAAAUAAUAUGAAAAGGUAACACCAUAUAUAAGUUAUUCAUAUAUGUCUUCAUAAAACAUGAAUUUUCUUUAUUCUUUUGAAAUUUGAAUUUUCUGAGUAAAAUGCUUCAAUUCUUUAAUCAUCUUUUAAGUCUAAAUAAUUGCACACAAAUAAUUUUUUUAGAAACAAAAUAUAUCAAAGUGGGUCUAUAAUUCUGAUGUAACAGUUAUUUCUAAGCUCAGGCUUAACAUAUUUAACAUAAAAGCUAUAAACAAAUUGAGAUCAUGAUGAUAUUACCACCAGCUAAUUAACAAACGGAGCUAUAUAUUUGUAUUUUCAUGGUUUAAGCAGCUAAACUUCUAACUAUAUAUGAAGGCAGGCCACUAAGCCCCCUUUAAAAUUUGAAAGGCUUCCAAGUUGAUGAGGAAUGGUUCCAACAAGAACAUUAUUAUAACUAAGAUCAAGGUACAACAAAUGAGAGAAAUUUCCAAGUUGAUAAGGGAUUGUAACCUCGAGACGAUUCUCUGAAAGAUCAAGAUAUUGCAACUGUGAAAGGCGAACAAGAUCAUUUGGAUUUCUUCCGUCAUCAAAUGAACCUUGGAGGUCAAGGAGUCUCAACUAUUGUGGAGCUGUUCUCUAAGGUUCGUUGG